UGCAUAUCAAUAAGCGGAGGAAAAGAAACCAACAGGGAUUGCCUUAGUAACGGCGAGUGAAGCGGCAAAAGCUCAAAUUUGAAAUCUGGCACCUUCGGUGUCCGAGUUGUAAUUUGAAGAAGGUAACUUUGGAGUUGGCUCUUGUCUAUGUUCCUUGGAACAGGACGUCACAGAGGGUGAGAAUCCCGUGCGAUGAGAUGCCCAAUUCUAUGUAAAGUGCUUUCGAAGAGUCGAGUUGUUUGGGAAUGCAGCUCUAAGUGGGUGGUAAAUUCCAUCUAAAGCUAAAUAUUGGCGAGAGACCGAUAGCGAACAAGUACAGUGAUGGAAAGAUGAAAAGAACUUUGAAAAGAGAGUGAAAAAGUACGUGAAAUUGUUGAAAGGGAAGGGCUUGAGAUCAGACUUGGUAUUUUGCGAUCCUUUCCUUCUUGGUUGGGUUCCUCGCAGCUUACUGGGCCAGCAUCGGUUUGGAUGGUAGGAUAAUGACUAAGGAAUGUGGCUCUACUUCGGUGGAGUGUUAUAGCCUUGGUUGAUACUGCCUGUCUAGACCGAGGACUGCGUCUUUUGACUAGGAUGUUGGCAUAAUGAUCUUAAGCCACCCGUCUUUGA
RNAcentral lists this ribosomal RNA (606 nucleotides) under Debaryomyces hansenii. Its description in RNAcentral is "eukaryotic LSU rRNA". It matches the Rfam family "Eukaryotic large subunit ribosomal RNA", at positions 37 to 658 of the family's 3401-position model. Lineage: Eukaryota; Fungi; Ascomycota; Pichiomycetes; Serinales; Debaryomycetaceae. The record is from RNAcentral.